RNAcentral lists this long non-coding RNA (1432 nucleotides) under Ursus thibetanus thibetanus. RNAcentral's name for it is "lncRNA (ENSUTTG00000014356.1)". Lineage: Eukaryota; Metazoa; Chordata; Mammalia; Carnivora; Ursidae. The record is from RNAcentral.
UAGGUGAGGUCCCGAGUGACCCACUGGGUGUUGGGUUCUGUGGAUCUGUCUCAUCAGGUGCUGUGGAAUUCAGGGACACCCUCCUGUCUGUGGAAUUGUGUGGAGACAGGUAGACAUCAGUGUCUGGCCAGGCGGGGGAGCCACUGCUUGGUUUCCAUGAAAGCUGACCAGGGUCUUUGACCGUGAUUCCUAGCAGCUGCAAGGGGAGAGGAGGCCGGAGGUGGUGCACACUUCCUAGACUUGUGGUCAGGACUAGUCUGGAACCCACUGAAGUCAGCCACACCAGGCACAGAAGGCACCCAGUCAGUGUAGCUGUGGGCACUGCUCCCAUGGUACUUUCGGGCCAGCUCCAUGCUGCCACCUCCUGCUUUUCAUCAUCAUCUUCAAGGUCAUGUGCCUCUGCUCUUGCCCCAUGGCCUCCAGGGUAUUGUCAGUCCUCCAUCUGGCCCUUGUCCCUGGUGCCCUGUGCAGUCUGAUGGCAGGAUAGCCUUCUCGAGACAAACAUCUGGCCCUGAUGGAACACUUCCAUGUAUCUCGUGUGAUGCGAGGAUGAAGCCCUGCCCUGGAAGGUGGCUGCAAGUCCCCAAUCAGGAGAGCCAUGUCUCCCUUUUCACCAUGGCCUGCCCUUCCCUCAGUCUUCUUCAGGGAAGCUCUCCCCACUUCCUGAGAUGACAGCUCUGAACUUAAAAAUGAAUGUUAUUUUACAUAUCUCUAUGCCUUAGUUCAUCCAUGGCAUGUCUUUCAACCCCGUUAGUGGGUUUUUUUUUUUUUUUAGCAGUUCUCAAGGGCUGUCUGCUCAAGGAGGGGAUGACCUGGGUGAGGCAGCUUUCCCUCUCAUCUCCCUCAGCAUGUCUCUGAGCCCUGGGGCCAGAUGUCCCACUGAGGAUUGAAGGACGCGAGCCAGCCCCUCCUGAGCCCAGGCUGUGUCAGCUGUGUAGACGGAUGCGUGUCGGAGCGGUGGGCAGCUGGCAUGGGCCAGGGGCAGGCACUGUCCCACUGAGGAUUGAGGGACCCGAGCCAGCCCAUCCUGAGCCCAGGCUGUGUCAGCUAUGUAGACAGAUGCAUGUCGGAGUGGUGGGCAGCUGGCAUGGGCCAGGGGCAGGCAGUGUCUCCUCAUUCCUUCCCUCCCUUCCUCCCAGAGGUAGCUCAGAGCAGCCUUCAACCCCUGCAUCUCCAGAUCCCUUGACCUACACCUCCUGUGUUCAGCUGGUGGCCUUGGAGUUUCGCAUGGAUUCUACCUCCUCUACCCUCUCCCGUAGCAGUUCCUGGAUCAGGGGAGGGGUCGGACUCUUGUCUGCUUUUGGUCUUCCUGUCCCGCUCCAAGCCCACCCACCUUUGCGUCUUCUAUAUAUGUGCUUGGAAGCAAGCCCAUCCACAGGGAACCUAUUAGCCAAAUGGAUCCAGGCAAUGAACAUUGAAGUAGAGAUCCAGG